RNAcentral lists this ribosomal RNA (317 nucleotides) under uncultured bacterium. RNAcentral's name for it is "bacterial SSU rRNA". It matches the Rfam family "Bacterial small subunit ribosomal RNA", at positions 32 to 327 of the family's 1533-position model. The record is from RNAcentral.
AAUCAACGCUGGCGGCGUGCCUCAGACAUGCAAGUCGAACGCUGCUGUUCGCCUUCGGGUGGACAGCGGAGUGGCGCACGGGUGAGUAACACGUAAGUAAUCUACCUUUGGGUGGGGAAUAACAGCCGGAAACGGCUGCUAAUACCGCAUAAUGCAGCGGCAUCACAUGAUGACAGUUGUUAAAGCGAGGGAUCGUAAGACCUCGCGCCUGAAGAGGAGCCUGCGGCAGAUUAGGUAGUUGGUGAGGUAAUGGCUCACCAAGCCUGCGAUCUGUAACCGGCCUGAGAGGGCGGUCGGUCACACUGACACUGACAUAC